CAACAAUUGGAAGGAGGUGAUCCAGUGUCUCAUUGUCAGUAUCCGCAGGCUUCGGCCGCAAUGACCUGGGUUCUCGCCUCUGUCGAGAACGCCUGAACAAGGCGCCCGGGUCGCUUUGGCGGACCUCGGUAGACAAUGGAAGGGCUGCUCCGGCAGCCCU
RNAcentral lists this small RNA (160 nucleotides) under Faunimonas pinastri. RNAcentral's name for it is "bacterium A52C2 caulobacter sRNA CC2171". It matches the Rfam family "caulobacter sRNA CC2171", at positions 1 to 138 of the family's 159-position model. Lineage: Bacteria; Pseudomonadati; Pseudomonadota; Alphaproteobacteria; Hyphomicrobiales; Afifellaceae. The record is from RNAcentral.